CGAGGCAAAUCCGGGCGCAUGACUCAAGGGUGUGGCGCGAGCGAACAAGUUUCGCGAAGUGACUGGAAGUGGUUCCAAGAAAAGCCUCUAAGCUUCAGCUGUACGAGACCGUACCGCAAACCGACACAGGUGGACGGGAUGAAUAUUCCAAGGCGCUUGAGAGAACUCGGGAGAAGGAACUCGGCAAAUUGAUACCGUAACUUCGGGAGAAGGUAUGCCCCGGUAGUGUGAGGCGCCUGCGCGCCGAGCAUGAUGGGGUCGCAGAGAAUCGGUGGCUGCGACUGUUUAUUAAAAACACAGCACUCUGCAAAGACGAAAGUCGACGUAUAGGGUGUGACGCCUGCCCGGUGCCGGAAGGUUAAGUGAUGGGGUGCAAGCUCUUGAUCGAAGCCCCGGUAAACGGCGGCCGUAACAAUAACGGUCCUAGGUAGCGAAAUUCCUUGUCGGGUAAGUUCCGACCUGCACGAAUGGCGUAACGAUGGCCACACUGUCUCCUCCCGAGACUCAGCGAAGUUGAAGUGUUUGUGAUGAUGCAAUCUACCCGCGGCUAGACGGAAAGACCCCAUGAACCUUUACUGUAGCUUUGCAUUGGACUGUGAACCGGCCUGUGUAGGAUAGGUGGGAGGCGCUGAAGCGUGGUCGCUAGAUCAUGUGGAGCCAACCUUGAAAUACCACCCUGGUUUGUUUGCGGUUCUAACCUUGGCCCGUUAUCCGGGUCGGGGACAGUGCAUGGUGGGCAGUUUGACUGGGGCGGUCUCCUCCCAAAGCGUAACGGAGGAGUUCGAAGGUACGCUAGGUACGGUCGGAAAUCGUGCUGAUAGUGCAAUGGCAUAAGCGUGCUUGACUGUGAGACUGACAAGUCGAACAGGUGCGAAAGCAGGACAUAGUGAUCCGGUGGUUCUGAAUGGAAGGGCCAUCGCUCAACGGAUAAAAGGUACUCUGGGGAUAACAGGCUGAUACCGCCCAAGAGUUCAUAUCGACGGCGGUGUUUGGCACCUCGAUGUCGGCUCAUCUCAUCCUGGGGCUGUAGCCGGUCCCAAGGGUAUGGCUGUUCGCCAUUUAAAGAGGUACGUGAGCUGGGUUUAAAACGUCGUGAGACAGUUUGGUCCCUAUCUGCCGUGGGCGUUGGAUACUUGACGGAGCCUGCUCCUAGUACGAGAGGACCGGAGUGGACGUACCUCUGGUGUACCGGUUGUCAUGCCAAUGGCAUUGCCGGGUAGCUAUGUACGGAAGAGAUAACCGCUGAAGGCAUCUAAGCGGGAAACUCGUCUGAAGAUUAGGUAUCCCGGGGCCUCGAGCCCCCUGAAGGGUCGUUCAAGACCAGGACGUUGAUAGGUCGGGUGUGGAAGCGCAGUAAUGCGUUAAGCUAACCGAUACUAAUUGCCCGUGAGGCUUGAUCCU
This 1401-nucleotide ribosomal RNA is filed under the name metagenome. Its description in RNAcentral is "bacterial LSU rRNA". It matches the Rfam family "Bacterial large subunit ribosomal RNA", at positions 1532 to 2925 of the family's 2925-position model. The record is from RNAcentral.